GGGAGUGUAGUUCAGUGGUACACUUGCCUAAAAUACAGGAGUUCCUGGGUUCUAUUCUCAGCACUUUUU
RNAcentral lists this transfer RNA (69 nucleotides) under Urocitellus parryii (Arctic ground squirrel). Its description in RNAcentral is "Spermophilus parryii (Arctic ground squirrel) tRNA". It matches the Rfam family "tRNA". Rfam says of the family: Transfer RNA (tRNA) molecules are approximately 80 nucleotides in length. RNAcentral also lists the same sequence under 2 other names. Lineage: Eukaryota; Metazoa; Chordata; Mammalia; Rodentia; Sciuridae. The record is from Rfam by way of RNAcentral.